This 253-nucleotide ribosomal RNA is filed under the name uncultured bacterium. RNAcentral describes it as "partial 16S ribosomal RNA". It matches the Rfam family "Bacterial small subunit ribosomal RNA", at positions 524 to 776 of the family's 1533-position model. The record is from RNAcentral.
UACGGAGGGUGCGAGCGUUGUCCGGAUUCAUUGGGUUUAAAGGGUGCGUAGGCGGGUUAUUAAGUCAGUGGUGAAAGCCCACAGCUCAACUGUGGAACUGCCAUUGAUACUGGUGACCUUGAGUUCAGUUGAGGUAUGCGGAAUUUAUGGUGUAGCGGUGAAAUGCAUAGAUACCAUAAAGAACACCGAUUGCGAAGGCAGCAUACUGGGCUUGGACUGACGCUGAGGCACGAAAGCGUGGGGAUCGAACAGG